Molecule: ribosomal RNA, 460 nt
Filed under: uncultured bacterium
Lineage: Bacteria
Description: partial 16S ribosomal RNA
Rfam family: Bacterial small subunit ribosomal RNA
Source: RNAcentral
CCUACGGGUGGCAGCAGUGAGGAAUAUUGGUCAAUGGCCGGAAGUCUGAACCAGCCAUGCCGCGUGCAGGAAGACGGCUCUAUGAGUUGUAAACUGCUUUUGUCCAAGGGUAAACCUGAAUACGUGUAUUCAGCUGAAAGUACUUUACGAAUAAGGAUCGGCUAACUCCGUGCCAGCAGCCGCGGUAAUACGGAGGAUCCAAGCGUUAUCCGGAUUUAUUGGGUUUAAGGGGUGCGUAGGCGGAUUGAUAAGUUAGAGGUGAAAUGUCCGAGCUUAACUCGGGAACUGCCUCUAAUACUGGUGUUCUUGAGAGCGGAUGCGGUAGGCGGAAUGUGUGGUGUAGCGGUGAAAUGCUUAGAGAUCAUACAGAACACCGAUUGCGAAGGCAGCUUACGAAUCCACAUCUGACGUUGAGGCACGAAAGCGUGGGGAGCAAACAGGAUUAGAUACCCGAGUAGUC